Long non-coding RNA from Pantherophis guttatus, 1034 nucleotides. RefSeq lists it as uncharacterized. Lineage: Eukaryota; Metazoa; Chordata; Lepidosauria; Squamata; Colubridae. The record is from RefSeq and is a predicted model, not a curated record.
CUGUUCUCGGAAAUGUGGCAUGGACCUCUCUAAAUUUUAAGGAAAUCUGAACUGAGCCCCUCUAGAAAACAAAAUGAUCAGUAGAUUGAAAAAGCACACAGCAUUAUUCUCCCAACUGCUUGAAGUCCACCAAAGAUCACGAGGAGGGAAUAUGGAGUUAACACUGUUAAAAGGAGUAGACAGAAGGCUCCUCUGUCUGAUCAUGAAGCUCAACAUCCUUACAUAAUUUGGAGUUUCUCAGCUAGACGGCUUGCCAGAGGACGUGAGGAGUUGAGCAGAGGCUGAAAAAAAGAGGAAUACUUUCCCAUGUUUGAUAGACUGAAAAAAAACCCUCUUUGCUUCAGAAAGCAAUUUGGAGACGUCAGAGGGCAGAAUAAGAGGCUGGAAGUAGGAGAUCCGAUACGGACCCCUGGCUGACUUCCCAUCCUCGGUUUAUUCUGGGAUUAUAUAAAAAAAACAUUUUAAGAAAAAAGAGCUUGACUCCUGGGAACUUGUUUCAUUAGUCUCUUUUUUUCUCGCAGCUUUUGAAAGCUAGUCUUCUCUCUCCCCCCCCACCCCCCAAUCCUAAUCUUCUCCCUGCUGGAUGAGACUGCAUAUUUUGCAUAUAUGCCUUCAUCUAAUUGAAAGAGGAUUCUGUAGGAUGGGUUCUCAUUAACAUGCAAGAAGCCAUCAGUGAAUUAUGAGUGAUGAGAAUCAUGUCAUCUGUCCCGUAUUAUAACAAUUAUUAUAAUUAUAACCGAAUAACAGAGUUGGAAGUCUUCUUGGAGGUCUUCUAGUCCAAGCCCUUCCUCAAGGAGGAAACCUUAUACCAUUUAACAUAUAACAAUUAUUAGAUACAACAAGGAAAAGUGGAGAAUAGGAUGUAUUGUAUGGGUUUGAAUAGUUGCUAUACCUUUUCUUUGAUGCUGGGCCAGAAUAAUCAGUCCUAUGAUUUUUGUAAACCUCAGGGGGCAACAGUGACUUAGAAUUUUGGAUUAACCUUUGGGCUGAUGAUAAAAUCUCAAGUUUACUAAAAUUAGCAGAAACAGGAUGUA